UUGACGGGCCCGCACAAGCAGCGGAGCGUGUGGUUUAAUUCGUUGCUACACGAAGAACCUUACCUGGGUUUGACAUAAUGGUGGUAGGGAUCCGAAAGGUGACCGACCCUUCGGGGAGCCAUUACAGGUGUUUGCAUGGCUGUCGUCAGCUCGUGUCGUGAGAUGUUCGGUUAAGUCCGCUAACGAGCGCAACCCUCGCUGUGUGUUAUAUGUGUCACACAGGACUGCCGGUAAAAGCCGGAGGAAGGUGAGGAUGAUGUCAAGUCAGCAUGACCUUUAUAUCCAGGGCUACACACACGCUACAAUGGUCUGUACAAUGGGUAGCCAAGCCGCGAGGCGGAGCCAAUCCUGAAAGCAGGCCUCAGUUCAGAUUGCAGUCUGCAACUCGACUGCAUGAAGCCGGAGUUGCUAGUAACCGCAGGUCAGCAAUACUGCGGUGAAUACGUUCCCGGGUCUU
RNAcentral lists this ribosomal RNA (457 nucleotides) under uncultured Anaerolineaceae bacterium. RNAcentral's name for it is "bacterial SSU rRNA". It matches the Rfam family "Bacterial small subunit ribosomal RNA", at positions 917 to 1381 of the family's 1533-position model. Lineage: Bacteria; Bacillati; Chloroflexota; Anaerolineae; Anaerolineales; Anaerolineaceae. The record is from RNAcentral.